RNAcentral lists this ribosomal RNA (578 nucleotides) under uncultured Russulaceae. RNAcentral describes it as "LSU rRNA". It matches the Rfam family "Eukaryotic large subunit ribosomal RNA", at positions 47 to 623 of the family's 3401-position model. The record is from RNAcentral. Lineage: Eukaryota; Fungi; Basidiomycota; Agaricomycetes; Russulales; Russulaceae.
UAANCGNNNGNAAAGAAACUANCAGGAUUCCCCUAGUAACUGCGAGUGAAGCGGGAAAAAGCUCAAAUUUGGANUCUGGUGGUCUUNNNCCAUCCGAAGUUGUAAUUUAGAGAAGCGUCUUCCGCGCUGGCCCGUGCACAAGUCUCCUGGGAAUGGAGCGUCAUAGAGGGUGAGAAUCCCGUCUUUGGCAUGGAAUCCCAGGGCUUCUGUGAUGCGCUCUCGACGAGUCGAGUUGUUUGGGAAUGCAGCUCAAAAUGGGUGGUGAACUCCAUCUAAAGCUAAAUAUUGGCGAGAGACCGAUAGCGAACAAGUACCGUGAGGGAAAGAUGAAAAGCACUUUGGAAAGAGAGUGAAACAGUACGUGAAAUUGUUGAAAGGGAAACGCUUGAAGUCAGUCGCGUCGACCGAGACUCAGCCUUGCCUCGGCUUGGUGUACUUCUCGGCUUGACGGGUCAGCAUCGAUUUCAAUCCUCGGAUAAUGGCAAGGGAAAGGUAGCACCUUUUUAGGUGUGUUAUAGUCCUCUGUCGCAUGCGUGGGUCGGGAUCGAGGAACUCAGCACGCACCUCAAGGUGUCGGA